AAGAGUUCGCAAUGAAUAUGAGUGAGUAAUAGUCGGUAGAUAGGGUUUUAAGGGACAAAGAGAUACUUUUAUUAAUUGUAUAUGGGCAAUAUUAGAAUAAAAAUGAGUAAAACUAUGUUUAUCCAUUGAGUUAGUGGUUUUAAAAAUUUGGCAAACCUGUAAUUAAACCAUGAAAAAAUCAUGAAAUACCAUGAUCAUGACUUGUCAUUCUUCUCAAACACAACUAUGAACUAUACUUACAGUAAGAAGUCACAA
This 255-nucleotide unclassified non-coding RNA is filed under the name Hevea brasiliensis (rubber tree). The record is from RNAcentral. Lineage: Eukaryota; Viridiplantae; Streptophyta; Magnoliopsida; Malpighiales; Euphorbiaceae.